Molecule: ribosomal RNA, 408 nt
Filed under: uncultured bacterium
Lineage: Bacteria
Description: partial 16S ribosomal RNA
Rfam family: Bacterial small subunit ribosomal RNA
Source: RNAcentral
GACGAACGCUGGCGGCGUGCUUAACACAUGCAAGUCGAACGAAGUGGCGAACGGGUGAGUAAUACGUGGGUAAACUGCCCUCCUUUUUGGGAUAAGCCUUGGAAACGGGGUCUAAUACAGAAUGAAGGGGGAGGGGAUCGAGGCCUAUCAGCUUGUUGGUGGGGGGAUGGCCUACCAAGGCGGUGACGGGUAGCCGGCCCUAGAGGGUGACCGGCCACAUUGGGACUGAGAGACGGUCCAGACUCCUACGGGAGGCAGCAGUGGGGAAUAUUUCACAAUGGGCGCAAGCCUGAUGCAGCCAUGCCGCGUUUAUGAAGAAGGCCUUCGGGUUGUAAAGUACUUUCAGCGAGGAGGCGUUACUCGCAGAAGAAGCACCGGCUAACUCCGUGCCAGCAGCCGCGGUAAUUC